This 492-nucleotide ribosomal RNA is filed under the name uncultured bacterium. RNAcentral describes it as "bacterial SSU rRNA". It matches the Rfam family "Bacterial small subunit ribosomal RNA", at positions 15 to 518 of the family's 1533-position model. The record is from RNAcentral.
GAUUAUGGCUCAGGAUGAACGCUGGCGGCGUGCUUAACACAUGCAAGUCGAACGGACUUUACAUGAAGCCUAGCGAAUGUAAAGUUAGUGGCGGACGGGUGAGUAACGCGUGGGUAACCUGCCGUAUACCGGGGGAUAACACUUAGAAAUAGGUGCUAAUACCGCAUAAGCGCACGUGAUCGCAUGAUCGAGUGUGAAAACUCCGGUGGUAUACGAUGGACCCGCGUCUGAUUAGAUAGUUGGUGAGGUAACGGCUCACCAAGUCGACGAUCAGUAGCCGGCCUGAGAGGGUGAACGGCCACAUUGGGACUGAGACACGGCCCAAACUCCUACGGGAGGCAGCAGUGGGGAAUAUUGGACAAUGGGGGAAACCCUGAUCCCAGCGACGCCGCGUGAGUGAAGAAGUAUUUCGGUAUGUAAAGCUCUAUCAGCAGGGAAGAAAAUGACGGUACCUGACUAAGAAGCCCCGGCUAACUACGUGCCAGCCGCGGC